RNAcentral lists this long non-coding RNA (203 nucleotides) under Mytilus galloprovincialis (Mediterranean mussel). The record is from RNAcentral. Lineage: Eukaryota; Metazoa; Mollusca; Bivalvia; Mytilida; Mytilidae.
GAUAGAGAUAAUUGUUAGCAGCAAGAAUGUUCAGUAAAUUAAGAUCUACAAACACAUCACCAUCACCAAAACACAAUUUUGUCAUGAAUCCAUCUGUGUCCUUUGUUUAAUAUACACAUAGACCAAGGUGAGCUACACAGGCUCUUUAGAGCCUCUAGUUUGUUAUUGACACUGAUUAACAUCAACCGUAUUCAUAGCAAGCC